UAAGCCUGCAUGUCUAAGUAUAAGCAAUUAUACAGCGAAACUGCGAAUGGCUCAUUAUAUAAGUUAUCGUUUAUUUGAUAGUGCCUUACUACUUGGAUAACCGUGGUAAUUCUAGAGCUAAUACAUGCUACAAGCCCUGACUUCGGAAGGGGCGUAUUUAUUAGAUUAAAAACCAACGCCCUCUGGGCUCCUUGGUGAAUCAUGAUAACUUCACGAAUCGCACGGCCUUGCGCCGGCGAUGGCUCAUUCAAAUUUCUUCCCUAUCAACUUUCGAUGUUUGGGUAGUGGCCAAACAUGGUUGCAACGGGUAACGGAGGGUUAGGGCUCGACCCCGGAGAAGGAGCCUGAGAAACGGCUACUACAUCCAAGGAAGGCAGCAGGCGCGCAAAUUACCCAAUCCCGACUCGGGGAGGUAGUGACAAUAAAUACUGAUACAGGGCUCUUUCGGGUCUUGUAAUCGGAAUGAGUACAAUUUAAAUCCCUUAACGAGGAACAAUUGGAGGGCAAGUCUGGUGCCAGCAGCCGCGGUAAUUCCAGCUCCAAUAGCGUAUAUUAAAGUUGUUGUGGUUAAAAAGCUCGUAGUUGAACCUUGGGCCUGGCUGGCCGGUCCGCCUCACCGCGUGUACUGGUCCGGCCGGGCCUUUCCCUCUGUGGAACCUCAUGCCCUUCACUGGGUGUGCAGGGGAAACAGGACUUUUACUUUGAAAAAAUUAGAGUGCUCCAGGCAGGCCUAUGCUCGAAUACAUUAGCAUGGAAUAAUAAAAUAGGACGUGCGGUUCUAUUUUGUUGGUUUCUAGGACCGCCGUAAUGAUUAAUAGGGACAGUCGGGGGCAUCAGUAUUCAAUUGUCAGAGGUGAAAUUCUUGGAUUUAUUGAAGACUAACUACUGCGAAAGCAUUUGCCAAGGAUGUUUUCAUUAAUCAGGAACGAAAGUUAGGGGAUCGAAAACGAUCAGAUACCGUUGUAGUCUUAACCAUAAACUAUGCCGACUAGGGAUCGGACGAUGUUAUUUUUUGACUCGUUCGGCACCUUACGAGAAA
RNAcentral lists this ribosomal RNA (1039 nucleotides) under Stachybotrys chartarum. Its description in RNAcentral is "SSU rRNA". It matches the Rfam family "Eukaryotic small subunit ribosomal RNA", at positions 45 to 1097 of the family's 1831-position model. Lineage: Eukaryota; Fungi; Ascomycota; Sordariomycetes; Hypocreales; Stachybotryaceae. The record is from RNAcentral.